UACAGAGGGUGCAAGCGUUAAUCGGAGUUACUGGGCGUAAAGGGCGCGUAGGCGGAUAUUUAAGUCGGAUGUGAAAUCCCUGGGCUUAACCUAGGAAUUGCAUUCGAUACUGGGUAUCUAGAGUAUGGUAGAGGAAAGUGGAAUUCCCGGUGUAGCAGUGAAAUGCGUAGAUAUCGGGAAGAACACCAAGGCGAAGGCAGCUUUCUGGACCAAUACUGACGCUGAGGCGCGAAAGCGUGGGGAGCAAACAGG
RNAcentral lists this ribosomal RNA (252 nucleotides) under uncultured bacterium. Its description in RNAcentral is "partial 16S ribosomal RNA". It matches the Rfam family "Bacterial small subunit ribosomal RNA", at positions 524 to 776 of the family's 1533-position model. The record is from RNAcentral.